RNAcentral lists this ribosomal RNA (470 nucleotides) under uncultured bacterium. RNAcentral describes it as "bacterial SSU rRNA". It matches the Rfam family "Bacterial small subunit ribosomal RNA", at positions 335 to 797 of the family's 1533-position model. The record is from RNAcentral.
ACUCCUACGGGAGGCAGCAGUGGGGAAUAUUGCACAAUGGGCGCAAGCCUGAUGCAGCCAUGCCGCGUGUGUGAAGAAGGCCUUCGGGUUGUAAAGCACUUUCAGCGAGGAGGAAAGGGUGUAAGUUAAUACCUUACAUCUGUGACUGUUACUCGCAGAAGAAGCACCGGCUAACUCCGUGCCAGCAGCCGCGGUAAUACGGAGGGUGCGAGCGUUAAUCGGAAUUACUGGGCGUAAAGCGCAUGCAGGUGGUUUGUUAAGUCAGAUGUGAAAGCCCGGGGCUCAACCUCGGAAUUGCAUUUGAAACUGGCAGACUAGAGUACUGUAGAGGGGGGUGAGAAUUUCAGGUGUAGCGGUGAAAUGCGUAGAGAUCUGAAGGAAUACCGGUGGCGAAGGCGGCCCCUGGACAGAUACUGACACUCAGAUGCGAAAGCGUGGGAGCAAACAGGAUUAGAUACCCUGGUAGGUGA